AAGGAGAAGCGCCGGGACUCCGGAGUGGUGUGCAUUUCAGGGGCGCGUGGAAACGCCCAGCAGUGCCAGGUGGCAGAAACGACUAAAGCUGGGACUGUGAGGCGCACCGGGUGGGAAGCGGCGGGUUGCACCAGGUCUCACGCACCAGGCUAGCCCGGGUUAGGGCCCACGGCUUUCCAACCAAGCUUUCCUGAAGUAACAAUCAAGAUAGUUGCAGUUUUACAAAGGCAUCGAGCGUUUU
Non-coding RNA from Choloepus hoffmanni (Hoffmann's two-fingered sloth), 241 nucleotides. NCBI's taxonomy places the organism in Eukaryota, Metazoa, Chordata, Mammalia, Pilosa, Megalonychidae. The record is from Rfam.